Cervus hanglu yarkandensis (Yarkand deer) is the source of this 106-nucleotide small nuclear RNA. The record is from Ensembl. Lineage: Eukaryota; Metazoa; Chordata; Mammalia; Artiodactyla; Cervidae.
GUGCUCACUUCGGCAGCACAUAUACUAAAAUUGGAACAAUACAGAGAAGACUUGCAUGGCCCUGAGCAAGGAUGACAUGCAAAUUCAUGAAGUGUUUCAUAUGUAA